This 497-nucleotide ribosomal RNA is filed under the name uncultured bacterium. RNAcentral's name for it is "partial 16S ribosomal RNA". It matches the Rfam family "Bacterial small subunit ribosomal RNA", at positions 28 to 507 of the family's 1533-position model. The record is from RNAcentral.
GAUGAACGCUGGCGGCGUGCCUAAUACAUGCAAGUCGAGCGAACGGACGAGAAGCUUGCUUCUCUGAUGUUAGCGGCGGACGGGUGAGUAACACGUGGAUAACCUACCUAUAAGACUGGGAUAACUUCGGGAAACCGGAGCUAAUACCGGAUAAUAUUUUGAACCGCAUGGUUCAAAAGUGAAAGACGGUCUUGCUGUCACUUAUAGAUGGAUCCGCGCUGCAUUAGCUAGUUGGUAAGGUAACGGCUUACCAAGGCAACGAUGCAUAGCCGACCUGAGAGGGUGAUCGGCCACCCUGGAACUGAGACACGGUCCAGACUCCUACGGGAGGCAGCAGUAGGGAAUCUUCCGCAAUGGGCGAAAGCCUGACGGAGCAACGCCGCGUGAGUGAUGAAGGUCCUCGGAUCGUAAAACUCUGUUAUUAGGGAAGAACAUAUGUGUAAGUACCUGUGCACAUCUUGACGGUACCUAAUCAGAAAGCCACGGCUAACUACGUG